RNAcentral lists this ribosomal RNA (218 nucleotides) under uncultured Stichotrichia. Its description in RNAcentral is "partial Bacterial large subunit ribosomal RNA". It matches the Rfam family "Bacterial large subunit ribosomal RNA", at positions 2065 to 2282 of the family's 2925-position model. Lineage: Eukaryota; Ciliophora; Spirotrichea. The record is from RNAcentral.
GCUUCCCGCGGUUAGACGGAAAGGCCCCGUGCACCUUUACUACAGCUUUGCAGUGGCAUUAGAACACCUAUGUGUAGGAUAGGCGGGAGGCUUUGAACCGAUGGCGCCAGUCGUCGGGGAGCCAACCUUGAAAUACCGCCCUUAAGUGGUCUGAUGUCUAACCGCGCACCGUCAUCCGGUGCCGGGACCCUGCAUGGUGGGUAGUUUGACUGGGGCGG